RNAcentral lists this ribosomal RNA (668 nucleotides) under uncultured bacterium. RNAcentral describes it as "bacterial SSU rRNA". It matches the Rfam family "Bacterial small subunit ribosomal RNA", at positions 140 to 826 of the family's 1533-position model. The record is from RNAcentral.
GGGACAACAGCCAGAAAUGGCUGCUAAUACCGCAUAAGCCUGCUGUGCCGCAUGGCACAGCAGGGAAAACCACGGUGGUACAGGAUGGGCCCGCGUCUGACUAGUUAGUUGGCAGGGUAACGGCCUACCAAGACAACGAUCAGUAGCCGGCUUGAGAGAGUGGACGGCCACAUUGGGACUGAGACACGGCCCAGACUCCUGCGGGAGGCAGCAGUGGGGAAUAUUGCACAAUGGGGGGAACCCUGAUGCAGCAAUGCCGCGUGGGUGAAGAAGCACCCCGGUGCGUAAAGCCCUGUCAGCAGGGAAGAAAAUGACAGUACCUGGACAAGAAGCCCCGGCUAACUACGUGCCAGCAGCCGCGGUAAUACGUAGGGGGCAAGCGUUAUCCGGAUUUACUGGGUGUAAAGGGAGCGCAGGCGGCGUGGCGAGUCAGAUGUGAAAACCCGGGGCCCAACCCCGGGAGUGCAUUUGAAACUGCCAUGCUGGAGUGCCGGAGAGGUAAGCGGAAUUCCUAGUGUAGCGGUGAAAUGCGUAGAUAUUAGGAGGAACACCAGUGGCGGAGGCGGCUUACUGGACGGUAACUGACGCUGAGGCUCGAAAGCGUGGGGAGCAAACAGGAUUAGAUACCCUGGUAGUCCACGCCGUAAACGAUGCAUAAUAGGUACAGG